Non-coding RNA from Onthophagus taurus, 311 nucleotides. The record is from RefSeq and is a predicted model, not a curated record. NCBI's taxonomy places the organism in Eukaryota, Metazoa, Arthropoda, Insecta, Coleoptera, Scarabaeidae.
CAUCACUCACCCCAUCUAGUAACAAAUCGUAUUAACCAAGAAAUGUUUUGACAGAAAAUAUAACCUCACUUUUUAUUGUGUCGAUUAGAAAAUCAAUACCAGCUCUUUAUUAUGUUAUACCAUGACCACGAAAUGUUUGAGAAGUAGUGUUAGCUAUAAAACUAUUUGCUAGCUCCUCUGCAUGCAUCAAGACCUGAGACAAAACAACUUUACAAUGAAGCAUAAAUCAGAAAUAGAAACGUGGUAGAACGUUAAUACUGGGUUUGGACACGUCUAUUUUCAAUUUUGAGAUAGGACAUGCAUAUGGCAAC